GUGCUUGCUUCAGCAGCACAUAUACUAAAAUUGGAAUGAUACAGAGAAGAUUAUCAUGGUCCCUGCGCAAGGAUGACAUGCAAAUUCAUGAAGCAUUCCACGUUUUU
RNAcentral lists this small nuclear RNA (107 nucleotides) under Camelus ferus (Wild Bactrian camel). Lineage: Eukaryota; Metazoa; Chordata; Mammalia; Artiodactyla; Camelidae. The record is from RNAcentral.